GGAGGCGUGCCCGAGUGGUUGAAAGGGACGGUCCUGAAAACCGUUAUACCCGAAAGGGUAUCAGAGGUUCGAAUCCUCUCGCCUCCG
RNAcentral lists this transfer RNA (87 nucleotides) under Candidatus Portnoybacteria bacterium CG_4_8_14_3_um_filter_44_15. RNAcentral's name for it is "tRNA-Ser". It matches the Rfam family "tRNA". From Rfam's summary of the family: Transfer RNA (tRNA) molecules are approximately 80 nucleotides in length. RNAcentral also lists the same sequence under 1 other name. Lineage: Bacteria; Candidatus Portnoyibacteriota. The record is from RNAcentral.